This 565-nucleotide ribosomal RNA is filed under the name uncultured Glomeromycotina. Its description in RNAcentral is "SSU rRNA". It matches the Rfam family "Eukaryotic small subunit ribosomal RNA", at positions 548 to 1114 of the family's 1831-position model. Lineage: Eukaryota; Fungi; Glomeromycota. The record is from RNAcentral.
UUGGAGGGCAAGUCUGGUGCCAGCAGCCGCGGUAAUUCCAGCUCCAAUAGCGUAUAUUAAAGUUGUUGCAGUUAAAAAGCUCGUAGUUGAAUUUCGGGGUUAGUAGGUUGGUCAUGCCUCUAGUAUGUACUGGUCUCACUGAUUCCUCCUUCCUGAUGAGCCGUAAUGCCAUUAAUUUGGUGUUGCGGGGAAUUUGGACUGUUACUUUGAAAAAAUUAGAGUGUUUAAAGCAAGCUAACGCUUGAAUACAUUAGCAUGGAAUAAUGAAAUAGGACGUUCGAUCCUAUUUUGUUGGUUUCUAGGAUUGACGUAAUGAUUAAUAGGGAUAGUUGGGGGCAUUAGUAUUCAAUUGUCAGAGGUGAAAUUCUUGGAUUUAUUGAAGACUAACUACUGCGAAAGCAUUUGCCAGGGAUGUUUUCAUUAAUCAAGAACGAAAGUUAGGGGAUCGAAGACGAUCAGAUACCGUCGUAGUCUUAACCAUAAACUAUGCCGACUAGGGAUCGGAUGAUGUUAAUUUUUUAAUGACUCAUUCGGCGCCUUACGGGAAACCAAAGUGUUUGGGUUC